CUCCUGUGAUUGGUAGCAGGGAC
RNAcentral lists this microRNA (23 nucleotides) under Eptesicus fuscus (big brown bat). RNAcentral describes it as "efu-miR-9190". The record is from miRBase by way of RNAcentral. Lineage: Eukaryota; Metazoa; Chordata; Mammalia; Chiroptera; Vespertilionidae.